This 4714-nucleotide long non-coding RNA is filed under the name Solanum tuberosum (potato). RNAcentral's name for it is "long non-coding RNA (STUB_LNC002110)". Lineage: Eukaryota; Viridiplantae; Streptophyta; Magnoliopsida; Solanales; Solanaceae. The record is from RNAcentral.
UUUUUUUUUUGUAAUUGUCACUUUAACAAAAUAUACUAACAAUUGUAUUGUAUAAUGGUUCUUCACAUCCAAGACCAUCUAAUUUUUCCUUUCAUUCUUCAAAGUUAGGUGCAUUAUUUUUUUAAUCAGUAACUCUAAAACAACACUCAUCUCCUCAUCAAUUUUCAAGUAACACGAAGAUAGUUUUCUUUUCAUCCCAAAACUAUUCUUUCAGUCGAAAUUGAAAAUUGGGAUGAAUAAUUAUUACGAGCUCCAUCAUUUUGUCACCAACUAGAUCUUCGACUCUAUCAAGUGUGUCUAUAUCUAUAAUAGUAGAUAAAGAAUAGACACCAGGUCUACAAUUUGGACUUCAAUCAUAAACUCUUGUUGCAGUAGAACCUUCAAAAAGUUUUGUACACAAAAUUUGAAAGGGUAAAGGUGAAGUGUUCUUGACAAACAUCAGUACACCCCAAAAAAAUUAUCAAUAUAAAAAAAUAGUUGUAAAGAUUAUGAAAACUUACUAGUUCAAAGAGAAAAAUAAUGGUGUUAAAUGGAGAAAGAAAGGAACAAAGUUUGUAGCGAGAGAGAACAAAGCCGCGCAAAGAGAAAGAAAAGCGAUUGAUUAUUUAUAGCGAAUUAAAUAAGUCUGAAUGGUAUUAAAACUCUCCUAUAGAUCUGAUUCCUUCCGAGCUUUUCAAAUCCAUUAAGAGAUUUUUUUUAAAAAAGAAACGGUUACGCCCUAUCUUAAGAUUAGAAGUCCACAUCCGAAAAACACAGAAGAGAUGUUGGGUAUAUAAGUAAGCAGGUUUUACCAUUUAAUGAUGUGUUUUAAAGUCGUGUGGGCCUAGACCCAAAAAGAGAACAAUAUCACUAGCAGUCUGAGCCGUUACAAAUGGUAUCAAAGCAUUUAAGGGUGAUAUUUUAGAUAUGUUUAAUAUAAAUAGGGAAAAAAGUCUGAAAAAUACUUUCAACUUUGGCUGAAAUUGUUGUUAUGAUACCAAACUUUAUGGAUGACCUUUUACCCUUGCACUAUGUAAUAGUGUAUUUUAAAGGUAUAUUUAUAAUUAUGCAAUAUUUAUGAUGUCCACGUGGGCACAUAUAUACCUUUAAAAUACACUAUUAAAUAGUGCAGGGGGUAAAAGGUCCUUUCCAAGAGUUUGGUAUCGUUACAACAAUUUUGGUCAAAAUUUGAAUAUAUUUCAGACAUUUUCCCCAUAUAAAUAUGAUGAAAAGAUCGGGCCAAAACACACCUAAUUUGGCUAAGCACCAUAAUGAGUAAUUAAAUUCAAUUUUAUCCUCAUCGAAUCUAGUAAAAUAUAUAUAAUCGUAAAGUUUCACAUAACUUUUUUAAUUAUAAAUUUACGUCAUAUUUAUAGUUUGGGAUAAGGGUUUGAAAAAUAUUUCAACUUUGGUCGGAUUUUCUGUUGGGAUAAUAAACUUUCAUGAGGAUCUAUUACCUCCCUAAACUAUUUAGGGAAAAGGGACAAAUAUACCCCCGAACUUUCAAAAAUGGUAUGUCAAUACCCUUCGUCAUACUUUUCGUCCAUCAAAGCCCUUGUUGUCCAAUAAUCAAUACAUAUUUACCCCUCCCACUAACGGAACACUUAUUGUGUACACGUGGCGCAAUCUUAUGCCACAACCCGAAUUGACCAAUUUUUUAACCCAAAUUUCAAAAUCCACCCAUAACCCAUUUAACCCACCCGAUUUACCCACAAAUAAACUCUCUAAAAUCCUAAAGAAGAAUGGAAAUCCUUAUUGAAUUCAUCAACAUGAACCCUAAUAGUAUCCUUAUCAACAUUAACAUCAUUUUUAAUCUUCUUCGCAUUUUAGUAAUCCAUAUAUGGCACCGCCGACCACGGCAGCGGAGGUGGCGACGGAGGCUAAGGAUAAGGAUUUCGGAAAGGAGGAGUUAGUAAAGGAUAAGGAUUUCAGGAAAGAGGAGGUGUUGUAGAAGCUGCAGGUAAGGAGUAGGUUGGGUGGGGAGGUGGUGGGGGAAGGGUAGGAAAGGGCGGAGCAAUAGAAGAAGACGGCGGCGGCAGCAGCGGAGGAGGAGAGUGGUGGAGGUGAUGAUUUUGAUGCCUUUUACUCCAUGAAAUUUUCAUUUUUUCUUCCUUGCAGGAACUAGAGGAACAGUAGUAGAAGAAUUCUGAAGAAAUCAACCGAAGAAUUAGAGAAGAAGAAUGAUGGAAAAUAUGGGACCCAUGUUGUUAAGGGAAAUUGAUUAGGAAGUUAAGUUGUUGAAAAAAUAAUUUCAAAAAUUAAGUUUUACCAAAACAAUCCAUUAAUUAAUAGGAGUAUUACAAUAAAAUUCCUAUUACAAUCAUAUUUUUUUAAAUGUGUGUAAAGUUUAACAUAAAUAAAUAAAUUUUAGGAUUUUUCUUUAGGAUUUCAAAGAGUUUAUUUGUGGGUAAAUCGGGUGGGUUAAAUGGGUUAUGGGUGGAUUUUGAAAUUUGGGUUAAAAAAUUGGUCAAUUCGGGUUGUGGCGUAGGAUUGCGACACGUGUACACAAUGAGUGUUCCGUUAGUGGGAGGGGUAAAUGUGUACUGAUUAUUGGAUGGCAAGGGCUCUAGUGGACGAAAAGUAUAACGGAGGGUAUUGACAUACCAUUUUCAAAAGUUCGGGGGGUAUAUUUGUCCCUUUUCCCAACUAUUUAAUACCAUAUUUUAAACAUAUAUAUUUGCCCACGUGGACAUAAAAAAUAAUGCAAAAUUAUAAAUAGUAAUGUGUCCACGUGGGCACAUAUAUAUCUUUAAAAUACACUAUUAAAUAGUUCAGGGGGUGAAAAAAUACGGUAUUAAAUAGUCUAGGGAGGUAAUAGGUCCUUAUGAAAGUUUAGUAUCGCAACAACAAAUCCGACCAAAGUUGGGGUAUUUUUCAGACCCUUAUCCCUUAUAGUUUACAUAACUUGUAAAUUAUGCCAUAUAUAUUUGAACGUCUUCUAAAUUUUCGUUAAUGCAUAAGGUAGUAAUUCUAUUUUAGGAAAUCGACAUUUAUCAAGUUUUCUGAACUUGACUCUUUUUUAAUUCCUACAUGAAUUUUGUGCUUGUCAAUGGUAUAUAGGGAUGUCAAUGAGGUGGUGCGGGGCGGGGGCGGGUUGAGCUUAAUCCGUAAUUUUUUUAAUUUGCCACGCUUUGCCCCGCUCCGCAUAAUAUUUUUUUUCAUUCUCAACCAGCCCCACCCCGCCCCGCAUUGACCCGUUCCGCAUCAACCCGCCCACGCAUAAGUUUUUUAAUAUUUUCUUGUUCUAGUUAAGUUUGAUACUAAAAAUAAAAUUCAUAAAAAUAAAUUUAUUUUUUCAUUAACUUGUAUUAAUUUAAUAGGGAUAAGGAUCUGAAAAAUACCCCAACUUUGGUCGGAUUUGCUUAUUGCGAUACUAAACUUUCAUGAGGACCUAUUACCUCCCUAGACUAUUUAAUACCGUAUUUUAAACAUAUAUAUUUGCCCACGUGGACAUAAAAAAUAAUGCAAAAUUAUAAAUAGUAAUGUGUCCACGUUGGCACAUAUAUACCUUUAAAAUACACUAUUAAAUAGUUCAGGGGGUAAAAAUACGGUAUUAAAUAGUCUAAGGAGGUAAUAGGUCCUCAUGAAAGUUUAGUAUCGCAACAACAAAUCCGACCAAAGUUGGGGUAUUUUUUAGACCCUUAUCCCAAUUUAAUAGGAUAGAUACUUAAAUUUUUAUUUUUUAGAGGUCAAUUGGAAAACAGGUAAGAAAUUGAAUUAUUUUCUAUUGAACCGUUUUCAUUUACUAUCUUGAAUAUUUUAGUAGCUUUAAAGAAAUUAUCUUAAUAAAUAAUGUUCUAUCACUCUUAUAACAUGUAAAAAAUUAGAUUUAAAUUUAAACCCACAUAAAAUCACAUAUACCUGCAACCCGCCCCGCCGCGCAUUAGUGUUUAAAAAAUUUACUUCAACCCGCCCCACAUAGCCUUAAACCCGUCCCACCCCACCCCACAUCCACCCCGUCUCAUUGCCAUCCCUAAUGAUAUAAGAUCUGAUAUUUGAUGCUUAAUCAAUUUAUAAUGUAGUUUAAAUUUCUUAGAUUCCGUAUCUUCACCAAGAUAUCUCAGCAUGCAAUUUUGUGUUCUACAUGACAAUUCACGUCCUAAGUAACGCGUGUGUUUACUGGUUUAACUUUAUAUAAAUUUAAAUGUAUAUUUAUAUACACCAAAGGUUGGAGGGCGCAGAUGCAUGCCAACUAAGUGAAAUUAAAGAACACACAUGUAUUAUGCCUAAAAAAAAAGAGUAACUCAAUGCACAAAGCAUAGGGUUCACGUAAGGUCCAAAGAAGAGCCCACAUCUUAAGGGGGGUGAUGUGGACAUUGCUACACUAAUGCAAGCAUUAGUGUGUGCUUCCACGGCUUCGAACCCAUGACCUAUACGACAGAGCCAACUUUACCAUUGUUCUAAUGCUACUAUUCAAGAAAGGUAGAAAUGUUUUGUUUAAUUUUUUUGAGAGAAACUUUAAUCUUUCCAAAAUUAAGCCUACAACAAAUUGGAGCUGCUACAAUAAAUUACAAUAUCUGAUUAUUUGAGCCAAAAAUUUGUAUUAUGCACAACAUAUUUGCAGAGUUCUGAAGAAUAAGAACAGUUAAAGAACCAAAGCUUAUCUAAGCCUCAAAUUUUUCUAACAACAAAGACUCAAUGACUAGAAGGUCAAAUCUACUUUCUUGAUAUAUAUAUAUAACAGAGACUUUAAGCAUUUAUAUAUUGCUGCAAAAACUUUGUUCUUUUCUUGUUC